Molecule: ribosomal RNA, 426 nt
Filed under: uncultured bacterium
Lineage: Bacteria
Description: bacterial LSU rRNA
Rfam family: Bacterial large subunit ribosomal RNA
Source: RNAcentral
AUGAUGUAUAUUGUCUGACUCUCGCCAGUGCUUAGAAAGUAAAAAUGAAUAUUUAGAAAAGGUAUUUGUAUAAGCUCAAGUAAACGGCGGCUGUAACCUUGACGGUCUUAAGGUAGACGAAAUCCCUAGUCAAUUAAUUGUUGACGUGCAUGAAUGGAGUAACGACUGUUUUACUGUCUCGGGCUUUUGUACUGUGAAUUCAUAAUUGUCGUGAAGAUACGACAUUCCUAUAGUGGGACGGAGAGACCCUAUGCAGCUUUACUAUAAUUUUAAAGUGUUUGAAAUUCUUUAAGUAUGUAGGAUAGGUAUAAGCUUAUUAUUUUUUAACGCAAGUUAAUUGAUUAGGCAAUCUUGAAAUAGUACCUCUUUAAAAAUUUUUAAACUAAUUUUACAAAGACAUUUUAUGAUUGGUAGUUUCACUGGGGC